Aegilops tauschii subsp. strangulata is the source of this 3512-nucleotide RNA transcript. RefSeq lists it as uncharacterized. NCBI's taxonomy places the organism in Eukaryota, Viridiplantae, Streptophyta, Magnoliopsida, Poales, Poaceae. The record is from RefSeq and is a predicted model, not a curated record.
UCCUUCGAAGGUACGUCUGGAAGUCUCCCGUUUCAUCACUCCACCGCCCUACGUCGCUAUAAGAAUCAUCCCUGUCGUGUGUUUUCCCAAGGGCAAUCCUGAUUGUGCCCACGUCCGUUCCCCCCACCUUGCCGGCGGCCCGUCCCUCGCCGGAGCCCCACUACUGGGCCUCAUGCCUCUCCAUCCACCGGCACCGGCCCUCCUUUGUCCGUUCCGCCGAGGUGGUGUCACACCCAUGAGAAGGCGUACGGGAGACGCAUGGAGGUCACAACAAGCAGUCCCCCGCCCAAAAAAUUUGGGAGCGGCCGCCUCGCUUAGCUCCUCGUGUAGCGACAGCCAUGCGGGAGAGGGUCGACUGCUACAUCGUCGCCAUGAUCCACCCCUGAAGCCGUAGCCAUCGCGUUGGCCGCUCCAAGCACAUGACGAAGGCCGCAGUGGCGCAGCCAGUGCUCACGGCGUCGCCUUCAUCUGAGAGGACCAACAUCAUCAAGCGCUCCAUCGAAGGAUCUGGCUUCCCUGGCCGGCGUCGGGUCCAUCGGCCAGAGCCUCGCCGGUGUUGUUCAGCCGGUGGGACUAUGAGACGCAGUUCUGGGAGCUCCAGCGGCAGCAUGAGAGGUACAUAACUUGUGGAUACGCAGAUACCUACUCCGCGGCUACUCGACAAACCAUCGGCGACUCUUUGGUCACCGUUGGCUUCCUAUCGCCGGUCGGCCUCCCCGCCGCCGCAUACGCUCAGCCCCGGAAGCUGGCUUGCCAUCCGUCUUUGUUCGCUGCUAUUAGCUGUGUUUUUUAGACGAUUCUGUAAGAGAAAUGACGAAGGGGAAUUGGACGCCGCCGGCUACUGUUGCGUGCAGGAUUCGUGCAACGGGGGAGGAUAUUAAGAGCAGAUGACAAGCAAAGGCGACGACUUUAGAUAAUGGAGAGCCUGCCUAGAUGUUAACCUCUCACAUGUUAAUCGAGAUCAAGAAGCCUGGAUGCUAGCGUUUUCAAAUUCACACCCACGCACCGCCGCACAUGCUACUGUGCCAUCACUGGACGUCUGGUGCGUCACCAUGCACUCACUGUCUUGCAUAGGCCUUUCUUAGUGGCGAUGUCUCCAGACGAGUUGCUAUGGGUGACGCCUCGGAUCUGGGAGGGCCGUACGUCGGUACGUGCUGCUCGGUUGCCAGCCCCAGCGAAUCUCUGUUCUAUUUAAUUUCAAAAGUUUGGUCGUGUUCUACAUAUCCUUUUCUUAUACGGAUUCUACAUAUAUUUUGAUCCCAGUAUAAUAUUAUUUGGAUUAUACUCAUUACUCAAUGAUGAGGGUAGAAUUAGUGGAUGCUUGCUAUAAAGAUGGACGUAUAAUCCAUAUGGUUGGAUUCUGGAUUGAUCCGUAUGGUUGAACAGAAUAAAGAGUUGGACACAACAUGCCUACACGGAAACACCAACAUGCACGGUCCUUGAACUAAUUAUAGUUCAUUUCUUCACGUAUUAGUAACUUUUCUAUUCCUGCAACAAGGGAUUCCUUUUUCUUUUUUGAGAUUUUCUUGGAUUUACCAGCAAAUUUUAUGAGCUUGCCAUGUGAAUUCUGGGGUAAUUGAGUGGUACGCUCCUUGGGUGGACAUAGCGAUUUAUUCUGGGAUUUGUUUUUAUCAAAUUACCUUUUGUUCGUUUGCUUUCGGUUUGACCGCUGAUAGGUGCAUGCAUUGACGGGCGUGAAAUUUGGAGUGAUAUGAUUACCUGGCGGUCGAUGUGACUACAUGCGUGCAUGUGAUUAGCGUAGGUGCUUUUCCUAUUAUUUUUCUUCCAACUGAGAUAUUUUCCUUCGGUCGUUUUGUGUGGGUGGCUUCUUUUCUUUAUUUUUUUUAAUUUUAGUACCUCUCCGUGCGUAUUAAGAUAUAUUUUCUGACUUCUUAUCAUCUCUGGUUUGUUUCCCGUCGUCACGUUUGCAUGUGUGGCUUAAUAAUGGUUUUGACGGGGUGGAUUAUGGUCGACGUGUUGCAUUUUGUUAUUUCAUUAUUGUCAGCACCGUUCGUAUUGAAUUUUUCUUUUUGUUCCUUUAGAGGUCAGUUGCCACUUUGGUUGUAGUUUCUAGAGGUCUCUGAUAUUUUAGAUGGUGCUCAUGAUAGGGACCGGUGACUAUUUAAGGUGUGGAUGUGAUGCAUUUCAAUUUGUGGUUUGCUCACCCUGGUUCUUAUUUUAUUUCAUGGCAGGACGUGGUGCCUCUGAUGGCGUCAUUGGACAUGGCUGCAUUCAGCUAGGCCGCCUCCUGUUGGUAGACGUGGUCUUGUUGGCCAGGAGGUGAAUAUUGAUCAUGGUCUAUGGGCAUUUGGGCAGGCUACUAGACGUGCAAUCAAUGGAGCCCCAAAAGGGCCCAGAGGUCGCCUCUGGAAGUUGUGCUCACUAUAUUACCAUUAUAUCAAUGAUCAUAGCUAUCAUGCAUCUGAAGUCACAAACACAAACUUGUUUCCAAGAAGGCACAGCCAUCAAUGACAGUUCAACAUGGCCCAUCAGAACAUAACCGCCCAGCAAAAUGAAUUCACAAUACAGACUAAGAUCCUGGCAAAGAUAUGAACAACCAAACUAUUGUCGUUCUAGAGGGAAGAGGGAAGCUCUCACACUAAACGAUAUUCUGUAACUGGACACUCGGAUAAGAUAGAUGUAUAAGUGGUUACCACCAGAAGAGGACUGAAACGCCAAACAACACAAAAUGAAGUAGAAUCUUGCACUUUAAUUGUAAAUUUGCAUUUAUAUCGAACAAACAAUUAGAAAUGCACAUUGUGUCAAUCAGAGCUCUGAUUGUCAUGCUAUGUAUCUAAAGAACUAGAUUGGUAAUUAGACUACAUUUUGAAUGAUGAAAAUCAGAUCCAGAAUUCUAUAGAUAGGUUAUAUAUUUGUUUUUCGUUUGUUUUGUUUGUAAAGUUGUAGUGCAGUUCUGAUUUAGAUGUGGUAAUGAAGCUUUUGACAAUUUCCAAGCAAUAGUGCAUGGUUGAUGUUGCCCUUUGUUGGCACCAAUAAUUUUAUUAUGUAUUGGAGUGCCACUAUGUCUUCUGGGCCGUUUGUCAUUACCUAAUUUUAUUGAGAAGUGAUUUGAUUUUUUUUAUGUUUGCAAAGACUUCCCCUAAAUACAUUCUCAUAAGAUGAUAAAAAAGCUGUUAAAAAUCAUUUCGUUUUAGAGGUACUAGAAUGUCAGAUUUAUAAUUUCCGUCUUGCAAGAUGUAGCACUCAUGGUGAUAAUAAAUUUAUCUUUUCCAAAUUGUCCUUGUGCAUAUCUUGCUUUCUUGUGAUUAAAAAUUUAUAACUGCAAACUUACACACAUGAAGCUCUUAUUUCUCAUCACAUGAGCCAAAAAUAUGCAUAUACACAUGUACUGUAUCGACGGGGCGCGGCGUGCCGCCGCGCGGGUACAGCUAGUCAUAUAUUAAAGAAUGGACUACAAAUUUUCAUUGUAUAGUUCAUCAACAAAGGUCGGAAACUAUGGCAACUGCCAAAUUCAUCCCCAUGUUCUUUGUUUCUUUGAUGCCGCUGGAUAG